AUUUUUAUGACCUACUCAUACUGUAUCUACCUUUUUUAGAAUUUUCGUCUGUCUGUCUCUCUGUCGAUUAGAUUUUGUUUCAUUUAUCAAUUGUUUCUGUCAAUUGAAUCGUCUAUCACAUUUCAUUAAGCAGUCAAAAUAAGAGUGUCUAAUCUGACUUAUUUGUAACUAAGAUUAAAAAGACAAAAUUACGUAUCUUACGCAAUAUGUAAAAUAAAUGAAGAUCAUAACCUAUAAAUAAUCAUUUAUAUUAUUUAUAAACAAUUUUUGUGCAUUAACUUAUAUAAAAAAUUGGAUUCAAAAGAUAAAGAUAAGUACUUGAUUUCACUUAGUUAUCUAUAGUAAUUUUUAUUUUUGUAUGCUAAGGUAACCAAGAUUGACCAAUUCAAUAUAACUUAUCGUAAUUAAUAAUUUUAUAUUUUAGAUAUGUAUCGUUAUUAUUCGUUAUAUUUUCAUUAAAAAUGCCUAAAAAACGAAAAUCAAACUUGAGUUCAUCAUCAGCCAAAGCAAGAAGCAACAAACUUCUUCGCCUAUCUGAAACUCAAUGUGAACGAGACGAGAGACUGAAAAUUCAGAAAGAAAGGAAAAGUAAUUUACGAGCUAAUGAAACACCAGAACAAUCUGAAAUUCGCCUUGCUUCUGAUAGAAUGCAACAUGCUAAUAAGAGGAAAGUCGAAUCAGAGAUAGCUUAUGAAAGAAGAUUGGCGGAUGAUCGUGCACGCCACCUUAUUACAUAUCAUAAUGCAUCUGAUGAACGACGUAUCCACCGAUUAUCACGUGAUCGUCAACAGCACACUAUUGCACGCAAUAACGAAUCAGAUGAACAUCGUAAUCAGAGAUUGACUCACGAUCGUGAACACCAUACUUUAUCUCGCUCACAGGAAUCUAUAUUUGAUCGUGAAACUCGCCUAAUGAUCGACCGAGAACAUCACGCUCUUCAGCGACGAUCAGAAUCUGCAUUCAAACGCGAUGAAAGUAGAGCUGCAGCUAG
Long non-coding RNA from Microplitis demolitor, 991 nucleotides. RefSeq lists it as uncharacterized. The transcript is spliced from 3 exons. NCBI's taxonomy places the organism in Eukaryota, Metazoa, Arthropoda, Insecta, Hymenoptera, Braconidae. The record is from RefSeq and is a predicted model, not a curated record.